Molecule: ribosomal RNA, 542 nt
Filed under: uncultured bacterium
Lineage: Bacteria
Description: bacterial SSU rRNA
Rfam family: Bacterial small subunit ribosomal RNA
Source: RNAcentral
AAUAGAUACCCUGGUAGUCCACGCCGUAAACGAUGAGUGCUAAGUGUUGGGGGUUUCCGCCCCUCAGUGCUGCAGCUAACGCAUUAAGCACUCCGCCUGGGGAGUACGGUCGCAAGACUGAAACUCAAAGGAAUUGACGGGGGCCCGCACAAGCGGUGGAGCAUGUGGUUUAAUUCGAAGCAACGCGAAGAACCUUACCAGGUCUUGACAUCCCGGUGACCACUAUGGAGACAUAGUUUCCCCUUCGGGGGCAACGGUGACAGGUGGUGCAUGGUUGUCGUCAGCUCGUGUCGUGAGAUGUUGGGUUAAGUCCCGCAACGAGCGCAACCCUUAUUCUUAGUUGCCAUCAUUCAGUUGGGCACUCUAAGGAGACUGCCGGUGAUAAACCGGAGGAAGGUGGGGAUGACGUCAAAUCAUCAUGCCCCUUAUGACCUGGGCUACACACGUGCUACAAUGGACGGUACAAACGGUUGCCAACCCGCGAGGGGAGCUAAUCCGAUAAAACCGUUCUCAGUUCGGAUUGUAGGCUGCAACUCGCCUAC